RNAcentral lists this ribosomal RNA (301 nucleotides) under uncultured bacterium. RNAcentral's name for it is "partial 16S ribosomal RNA". It matches the Rfam family "Bacterial small subunit ribosomal RNA", at positions 509 to 807 of the family's 1533-position model. The record is from RNAcentral.
CAGUAGCCGCGGUAAUACGUAGGGUGCGAGCGUUAAUCGGAAUUACUGGGCGUAAAGCGUGCGCAGGCGGUUGUGUAAGACAGGUGUGAAAUCCCCGGGCUUAACCUGGGAAUGGCAAUGGAUACUGGCAAGCUAGAGUGUGUCAGAGGAUGGUGGAAUUCCCGGUGUAGCGGUGAAAUGCGUAGAGAUCGGGAGGAACAUCAGUGGCGAAGGCGGCCAUCUGGGACAACACUGACGCUGAGGCACGAAAGCGUGGGGAGCAAACAGGAUUAGAUACCCGCGUAGUCCCUGUCUCUUAUAC